Molecule: ribosomal RNA, 580 nt
Filed under: Xylaria cubensis
Lineage: Eukaryota; Fungi; Ascomycota; Sordariomycetes; Xylariales; Xylariaceae
Description: partial large subunit ribosomal RNA
Rfam family: Eukaryotic large subunit ribosomal RNA
Source: RNAcentral
GGAGGAAAAGAAACCAACAGGGAUUGCCCUAGUAACGGCGAGUGAAGCGGCAACAGCUCAAAUUUGAAAUCUGGCCCUCGGGUCCGAGUUGUAAUUUGUAGAGGAUGCUUUUGGCGCGGUGCCUUCCGAGUUCCCUGGAACGGGACGCCUUAGAGGGUGAGAGCCCCGUACGGUUGGACACCAAGCCUCUGUAAAGCUCCUUCGACGAGUCGAGUAGCUUGGGAAUGCUGCUCUAAAUGGGAGGUAAAUUUCUUCUAAAGCUAAAUAUUGGCCAGAGACCGAUAGCGCACAAGUAGAGUGAUCGAAAGAUGAAAAGCACUUUGAAAAGAGGGUUAAACAGCACGUGAAAUUGUUGAAAGGGAAGCGUUUGCGACCAGACCUUUUCCUAGCGGAUCAUCCGGUGUUCUCACCGGUGCACUUUGCUAGGUCUAGGCCAGCAUCGGUUUCUGUAGGGGGAUAAAAGCUCUGGGAACGUAGCUCCUCCGGGAGUGUUAUAGCCCUCUGCAUAAUACCCUUACGGGGACCGAGGACCGCGCUUCGGCAAGGAUGCUGGCGUAAUGGUCGUCAACGACCCGUCUUG